GAGGCAUCCUAAUCAGAUGCCCGAGCCACCUCAUCUGGCUCCUCUCAAUGUGAAGAAGCAGUGGCUCUACUCUGAGCCCCUCCCGGCUGACAGAUCUUCUCACCCUAUCUCUAAGGGAGAGCGCGGACACCCUGGGGAGGAAACUCAUUUCCGCCGCUUAUAUUAUAUCUUAUAUCUUCUUCUUUCGUUCAUGACCCAUAGCUCGUGACCAUAGAUGAGGGUAGGAACGUAGAUGGACCGGGAAAUUGACAGCUUCGCCUUUCGGCUUAGCUCCUUCUUCACCACAACGGACUGAUACAAAGUCCUCAUGACUGCAGACGCUGCACCGAUCCGCUUGUCGAUCUCCUGUUCCACUCUUCCCUCACUCGUCAACAAGACCCUAAGAUACUUGAACUCCUCCACUUGGGGCAGGAUCUCAUCCCCGACCUGGAGAGGGGACUCCACCCUUUUCCGACUGAGGACCAUGGUCUCAGAUUUGGAGGUGCUGAUUCUCAUCCCAGCCGUUUCAUACUCGUCUGCGAACCGCUCCAGUGAGAGUUGGAGAUCACGAUUUGAUGAAGCCAACAGAACCACAUCAUCUGCAAAAAGCAGAGAAUCAACCACCAAAAGGGACCCCCACUACGCCUCUUCUGUGCCUAGAAAUCCUGUCCAUAAAAGUUAGGAACCGAAUCGGUGACAAAGGGCAGCGUUGGCGGAGUCCAACCCUCACCGGAAACGAGUCCGACUUACUGCCAGCAAUGCGGACCAAACUCUGAAAUUGGUCGUACAGGGACUGAACAGCCCGUAUCAGGGGGUUCGGUACCCCAUAAUCCCGAUGCACCCACCACAGGACUCCCUGAGGGACACGGUCGAACGCCUUCUCCAAGUCCACAAAACACAUGUAGACUGGUUGGGUGAACUCCCAUGCACCCUCGAGGACCCUGCCGAGGUUGUAGAGCUGAUCCACUGUUCCACGGCCAGGACGCAAAUCACACUGUUCCUCCUGAAUCUGAGAUUCAACUUCCCGACGGACCUUCUUCUCCAGCACUCCUGGAUAGACCUUACCAGGGAGGCUGAGGAGUGUGAUCACCCUGUAGUUGGAACACACCCUACGGUUCCCCUUCUUAAAAAGGGGGACAACGACCCCAGUCUGCCAAUCCAGAGGCACUGUCCAAGAUCUCCACGCGAUGUUGCAGAAGUGUGUCAACCAGGACGGCCCCACAAAUCCAGAGCCUUUAGGAACUCCGGGCGAAUCUCAUCCACCGAGGAGCUUUUUAACCACCUCGAUGACCUCAACCCCAAAGAUAGGAGAGCCCGCCUCAGAGACCUCAGACUCUGCUUCCUUAUGGGAAGGCGUGUUGGUGGAAUUGAGGAUCUCUUCAAAGUAUUCUCCCCAUCGACUCACAACGUCCCGAGUCGAGGUCAGCAGCACCCAUCCCCACUAUACACAGUGUUGACGGUGCACUGCUUCCCUCUCCUGAGACACCUGAUGGUGGACCAGAAUUUCCUCAAAGCCAUCCGGAAGUCUUUCUCCAUGGCCUCACCGAACUCCUCCCACCCCCAAGUUUUUGCUGCAGCGACCACCAAAGAUGCAUUCCGCUUGGCCAGCCGGUACCCAUCGGCUGCCUCAGGAGUCCCACAGGACAAAAAGAUAGGACUCCUCCUUCAGCUUGACGGCAUACCUCACCACUGGUGUCCACCAACUGGUUCGGGGCUUGCCGGCACGACAGGCACCGACCACCUUAUGGCCACAGCUCCGGUUGGCCGUCUCAGCAAUGUAGGCGCAGAACAAGGUCCACUCAGACUUCCGGCGUUCCUCCCAUUCACACCUUUCCAGGUCUCAGUGUCAUUGCCCACAUGAGCAUUAAAGUCCCCCAGCAGAAGGAUGGAGUCCCCAGUGGGCGCGCUCACCAGCAUCUCCUCCAAGGUCUUCAAAAAGGGUGGGUACUCUGAACUGCUGUUUCGAGCAUAGACACAAACAACACUCAGGACCCGUCCUCCCAUGCGAAGGCAGAGGGAAGCUACCCUCUCGUCCACCGGGGUGAACCACAAUGUACAGGUGCUGAGCCGGGGGGUAAUAAUUAUACCCACACCUGCUCGGCGCCUCUCACCGUGGGCAACUCCAGAGUGGAAGAGAGUCCAACCCCUCUCAAGAGGACUGGUACCAGAGCCCAAGCCAUGUGUGGAGGUGAGCUCAAACUCACACACCAGCUCGGGCUCCUUCCCUGCCAGAGAGGUUACAUUCCACGUCCCAAGAGGUAGCUUCAGUAGCUGGGGAUCGGAUCGCCAAGGUCCCUGCCUUCGGCCACCGCCCAGCUCGCACUGCACCGGACCCCUAUGGCCCCUCCCACAGGUGGUUAGCCAAUGGGAAGGGGGAGCCACGUUACCCUUUCGGGCUGUGCCCGGCCGGGCCCCAUGGGUGCGGGCCCGGCCACCAGGUGCUUGCCUUUGAGCAGCAGCCAGAGGCAUAAAGCCCCAGACAACUUAGCUCCUAGGGUCAUUGGGACACAAACCCCUCCACCACGAUAAGGUGAGGGCUCAAGGAGGGGCAUACAGAUGUAUGAUGUAUAAUAUCUGCCAAUUUCUUUUUUUUUUUUUAAGUGCACAAUAGUAAGUAUUUUGUGCUAUUUAAAAGUUUCAAAAAUAUUCCAGACACAAUUUUCAGAAUGUUCCUGAGAGUUGAUGAUAGGGAUUGGCAUCUCUGAAUGUGCUAGGGACACAUUACAGCUGUUGGGCAGUAGGUUGCGGCACGGUACCCGACUGGUUAGCACGUCCGCCUCACAGUUUUGAGGACCAGGGUUCAAAUGGCCUCGCCUGUGUGGAGUUUGCAUGUUCUCCCUGUACCUGUGUAGGUUUUCUCCAGGUACUCCGGUUUCCUCCCACAUCCCAAAAACAUACAUGGUAGGUAUAUCAAAGACUCUAAAUUGCUCUUAGGUGUGAAUGAUUAUGUGACCUGCGAUUGGAUGACAACCAUUCCAGGGUGUACCGCAGUUAGCUGGGAUAGGCUCCAGCAUACCCGCGACCCUUGUGAGGAUAAGCAGUGUAGAAAAUGUAUGGAUGGGCAGUCGGUGAGCGUAUAUCCAUACUGGCAACAUGAGUCAGGCACGCUGAGCCGUCACUGGGCAGUUAAGUGAAUCAAAACAUGCAAUAUGAUGUUUCACCUUCACGGGGCGCUAGGCUUGCGAUAGCCUCUGAAGUUUACAGUCCCCUCCAAAAGUAUUGGAACAGCAAGGUUAAUUCCUUUGUUUUUGUUGUACACUGAAGACAUUUGGGUUUUACAUCAAAAGAUGAAUAUGAGACAAAAGUUCUGAAUUCCAGCCUUUAUUUCAUGGUAUUUACAUCUAGAUGUGUUAACGAACAGAGCAGCUUUUGUUUGAAGUCUCUCACUUUUCAAGUGAGCAAAAGUAUUGGAACAGACAUUAAAUUAACUUAAAGUGAAUUAGAUUUAAUAUUUGGUUACUUGCAAUAACUGCAUCAAGCCUGCGACCCAUUGACUUCACCAGAUUGUUGCAGUCUUCAUUGGAAAUGCUUUUCCAGGCCUUUCCUGCAGCCUCUUUCAGUUCUUGUUUGUUUCUGGGGGUUUCUCCCUUCAGUGUCCACCAAGUAAAAUGCAUGCAUGCUCUUGGGUUAAGGUCCGGUGAUUGACUCGGCCAGUCUAAGACCUUCCACUUUUUCCCCCUGAUGAAGUCCUUUGUUGUGUUGGCAGUGUGUUUUGGGUCAUUGUCUUGUUGGAUGAUGAAGUGCGGUAUAAUUUGCAGUAGCGCCUACUGCAAAUUUUCAAAGCACCAGCCCUAGCUGUACGUUUCACCUAGGUCUACCAAAAUUGGGGUGCUUAGGGAACAGUCCAAGACCUACGAAAAAAGUCUCUUGGAGCAAUGCCCUUAACCCCACAGGAAGUCCUUUGCUUUCCAAUUCUGACCCAUUUUUCGUCUUUUACAUGCGUCAUAUUUUAUCGAACGCCUCCUAGAGAUUUGCCGUGACAUCAAAAGCUGUUGUAACUUAACUCCAGAUCGUCUUAUCUUCUAAAUUUCACACACUUGCGAGUCCACACUGAAAGGAAUCUAUGGGGAAAAGAAUGUAGUCUUACUAAUAAUGCCACCUACUGCACAAGGACAUGUGAUGUUUCAUACUUUGUUGUUCUCCUAAAUAGCGGGUUAAUCCUAUCACAGUUUCUGUUCAAUUUAAAAAACAAAAACAAAGGCUCAGUUGUGCCCCCUUCAAAUUUUCAGAAAAGCACCCCUGGCGCUACGUUUCACCAAGAGCUACCAAAUUUGGGAGGCAUAUAUAACAGCCCAAGACCUACAAAAAAUUAAAAUAAAAUCAAAUGUUUAUUUAUUUUUUUCAUUUUUUUUUUUUAAGUCUCUUGGAGCCACACCAUGAACCCAAAAGGAAGUCCACCAUUUUUAAUUUACUUUCACUUUUUACCUAAUUUUUCACCUUUUAUUGAGGUCACAUUUUAACAUACUCCUCCUAGAGAUUUAAUCCAAUAGACUUCAAACUUUGAUUCUCAUCUAAAGAUAGGGAAGAUGAAAAGUUAAAAGCUUUUCAUUCCAUGCCAACGCUGUUGCUGUGGUGACAUGCUGUUUCACUGCACUGUUUGCCAAGAUGUAUGUAUGUAUGCAAACUCAUGAAACUUUGAAUACACCAAGCCUGGCAAACCUUUUAAUAUUUUACAAUUAUUUGUGAAAAUCUUAAAAGUAGCUCAGUUGCGCUCCGUACAUAUUUUCAAAAAAGCAGGCCUGGCUGUACAAUUCACCCAAUUUUUCACCUUUUAUAGGGGUCACAUUUUGACAAACUCCUCUUAGAGAAUUGAAUCCGAUAGACUUCAAACUUUGGGUGUCUCUUCUUAAAGAUAUUGAAGAUAAAAAGUUAUUAAAAUAUUUUCAUUCAGUGUAACGCUGUUGUGACAUGCUGUUUUCCGUGCUGUUUGCCAAGAAAACAACUCUGUUUGAGGUGUAAUUAUGCAAGCAAUCUCAUGAAACUUUGCACAUACAACAAGCAUUGUGAACAUUUUAAUAUUUUACAGGUUGUGCAAUUUAAAAAAAAAUGGCUCAGUAGCGCCUCCUACAAAUUUUCAAAAAAGCAGCCUCGAGUAUAUGUUUCAGGGGUGUUCAAAUUCAUUUUUGUCUCAGGCCACAUAGUAGUUAUGAUUUCCCUCAGAGGGCCAUUAGAACAGUGAAACCAUAUAAAUGUUUAAUCACCAAAUCAUAUUAUUACCAUUACACAACAAAGUGAGGGAUAACUAGUUUUGAAAUCCGAAGACAAGGAUAAUAGUUUGUUCAAGUAUUGUUUAAGUUACUGUAGAAGAAGGGUUUGGUAACAGAAAAAUGCAAUAUCUCAACAUUAUUGUUUAUUAUUAUGACAAUUUGGAAUUUGGGUACAGAUUUUAGCAGAAAUCACAGAAGUUGCCGAAAAUGAUUUGCUUUUGCAGGCCACAUAAAAUAAUGUGGCGGGCCUUGAGUUUGACACCUAUGACCUAGGGCUACUAAAAUUGGGAAGCAUACACUCCCCUCCAAAAGUAUUAGAACGACAAGGUCAAUUCCUUUGUUAUUGUUGUAUACUGAAGACAUUUGAGUUUCAGAUCAAAAGAUGAAUAUGAGACAAAAGUUCAGAAUAUGAGACAAAAGUUCAGAAGUCCAGCUUUUAUUUCAUGGUAUUAACACCUAGAUAUGUUAAACUACUCAGGACAAAGCACCUUUUCUUUGAACCCACCCACUUUUCAAGUGAGCAGAAGUAUUGGAACAGACAUUAUUAAAUUAACUUGAAGUGAAUAACAUUCAAUAUUUGGUGGCCUAACCCUUACUUGCAAUAACUCCAUCAAGCAUGUGACCCAUUGACUUCAGACUACUGCAUUCUUCAUUUGAUAUACUUUUCCAGGCCUUUACUGCAGCCUCUUUUAGAUUUUGUUUGUUUCUGGGUGUUUCUCCCUUCAGUCUCCUCUUCAGGGGGUAAAAUGCUGAUGAAGUCCUUUGUUGUGUUGGCAGUGUGUUUUGGGUCAUUGUCUUGUUGCAUAAUGAAGCUUCUGACGAUUAGUUUAGAUGCAUUUUUCUGUAAAUUGCCAGAAAAAAAAUAGUUUGUAUCAGAAUUCAUUCUGCUGCUGCAUGAGUUACAUCAUCAAUAAAGACGAGUGAGUCUGUUCCAGAAUAAGCCAUACCAGCCCGAGUCAUGACAUUACCUCCACCCUGCUUCACAGAUGAGCUUGUGUGUUUUGGAUCAUAAGCAGAUCCUUUCUUCUCCAUACUUUGGCCUUUUCAUCACUUUGGUAGAGUUUUAAUCUUGGUCCCAUCAGUCCAUAAAACUUUUUUGCAAAACCUUUGUGGCUCAUCUCUGUACUUCUUUGCAAAACCCAAUCUGGCCUUCCGAUUCUUUUUGCUGAUGAGUGGUUUGGAUCUUGUGGUAUUGGCCUAUAUAUUUCUUCUCUCGAAGUCUUCUUCGAACAGUGGAUUGUGAUACCUUCACCCCUUCCCUGUGGAAGUUGGCAUGAUUUUACUGACUGUUGUAUUUGGGUAUAUCUUCACAGCUCUCACAAUGUUUCUAUCAUCUACUACUGUUGAUAUCCUGCCAACCUGCUCAAUUUCUGUUGCUCAGUAUACCAGUAAUUUAUUUAUUUUUCAGGACAUUCCAAAUUGUUGAAUUGGCUAUGCCCAAUGUUUUUGCAAUCGCUGUGAUCGAUUUUCCCUCUUCUCGCAGCUUCAAAAUGGUUUGCUUUUCUCCCAUAGCUCUCCGGUCUUCAUGUUUGCGUAACAGUAAAUGCCGUUUUCACAGGUGAAACCCAAUGCCAAAAACAAGGACUAUCUAAUGUUUAAGCAAUCAAUCUAAAAGGCAACACGUGAGCAACUAGGAACACCCAUAAGUUAAUUUAAUCAUGUCUGUUCCAAUACUUUCGCUCACCUGAAAAGUGGGUGGCUACAAACAAAAGUAUAAUACCUUGAAAUAAAAGCUGGAAUUGUGAACUUUUGUCUCAUAUUCAUCUUUUGAUCUGAAACCCAACAAAAACAGGAAUUGAUUGACCUUGCUGUUCCAAUAUUUUUGGAGGGGACUGUAUGUGCCAGCACUGGUCAAAACAUGGUCAAGACUCUUAAAUUGCCCGUAGGUGUGAAUGUGAAUAGUUGUUAGUUUAUAUGUGCCCUGUGAUUGGCUGGCUGUCUCCCGAAGAUUGCUCGGAUAGGCUCCAGCACGCCCGCAACCCUAGUGAGGAUAAGCGGUACAGAAAAUGGAUGGAUGGAUGAUUAUGGGAUGGUGGUGUUGUUCCUGCUGCUUUUGUCUGCAGUCACAUCAUUAAUGAGUACAACGGAACCAUUUCCAUGGGCUGCUAUAUGGGCACCUUGCCAUGACACAGGCUGUCACAAAAACUAUUUUUUAAUUUUCCCAAAAAGUAUCAUGAUAAACGAUAGUUGUUUUUUUGAAUGCCAUGCCAAUGCCAAUCAUGAAAAAUAAGGCAUGCCCUUAUUAUUUUUUAUUUUAAUUUGCUUUUAAAUCAGUGAUGAUGUUAUUAUUAGGGCCCUAGGAGCGACCGCUGCAACGGACCUAUUGUAAUCGCAAGAGUUCUUCAUUAGUAGAGACCGCUGCAAGAGUCCUAUUGUACAACCCCAAUUCCAAUGAAGUUGGGACAUUGUGUUAAACAUAAAUAAAAACAGAAUACAAUGAUUUGCAAAUCACAUUCAACCUAUAUUUAAUUGAAUACACUACAAAGACAAUAUAUUUCAUGUUCAAACUGAUAAACUUUAUUGUUUUUAGCAAAUAAUCAUUAACUUAGAAUUUUAUGGCUGUAAAACGUUCCAAAAAAGUUGGGACAGGUGGCAAAAAAGACAGAAAGUUGUGGAAUGCUCAUCAAACACCUGUUUGGAACAUCCCACAGGUGAACAGGCUAAUUGGGAACAGGUGGGUGCCAUGAUUGGGUAUAAAAGGAGCUUCCCUGAAUUGCUCACUCAUUCACAAGCAAAGAUGGGGCGAGGUUCACCUCUUUGUGAACAAGUGCUUGAUAAAAUAGGCGAACAGUUUAAGGACAAUGUUCCACAACGUACAAUUGCAAGGAAUUUAGGGAUUUCAUCAUCUACGGUCCAUAAUAUCAUCAAAAGGUUCAAAGAAUCUGGAAAAAUCACUGCAUGUAAGCGGCAAGGCCGAAAACCAACAUUGAAUGCCCGUGACCUUCGAUCCCUCAGGCGGCACUGCAUCAAAAACUGACAUCAAUGUGUAAAGGAUAUCACCACAUGGGCUCAGGAACAUUUCAGAAAACCAAUGUCAGUAAAUACAGUUCGGCGCUACAUCCGUAAGUGCAACUUGAAACUCUACUAUGCAAAGCAAAAGCCAUUUAUCAACAACACCCAGGAAUGCCGCCGGCUUCUCUGGGCCCGAGCUCAUCUAAGAUGGACUGAUGCAAAGUGGAAAAGUGUUCUGUGGUCCGACAAGUCCACAUUUCAAAUUGUUUUUGGAAAUUGUAGACGUGUCCUCCUUCCAAGGAGGAAAAGAACCAUCCGGACUGUUAUGGACGCAAAGUUCAAAAGCCAGCAUCUGUGAUGGUAUGGGGCUGUGUUAGCACCAAUGGCAUGGGCAACUUACACAUCUGUGAAGGCACCAUUAAUCCUGAAAGGUAUAUACAGGUUUUGGAGAAACAUACGCUGCCAUCCAAGCAACUUCUUUUUCAUGGAUGCCCCUGCUUAUUUCAGCAAGACAAUGCCAAACAACAUUCUACACGUGUUACAACAGCGUAGCUUCAUCUUCUUCUUUUUGUCAUUAUUCUUAUUCUCACAGUCCAUCACAUUUUUGAGGGCCAAUACAUGUUCCGAUUUGAACUAAACUGGGCCUGGCAAAACAUUUAUUUUAAAGUUGUUAUAUGCGAUCACUAAAAAAUAGCUAUCUAGUGCCCCCUAGAAAUCUAAAAAUCAUUGGCCCCCACAUCACGUUUGACUUAUGGCUUCGGAAAUUGGUAGGCACGUGAUUUUUAAAAAAAAUACCAGUUUGGCCCUUUUUUGACCAUUUUUCCACAUUCACAGGGGUAUAUAAAAUUUUAGUACUCAAUUGUCCUCCAAAACCCUCUUCUGUUUGGGUGCAUAACUCAUUUUACCCGUUAUUCCUCUCAGACCACAUUUGCCACAUUUUUCACCUACAUCACUCAAAGAGUAACCACUUACAUAUCAGAUGGUAGUAUACUGGCCAUAUGUUACACAGUGACUACACUGAGCAAAACCUUUAAGCGCCCUUUGUAUAAGUCAGUGUUGGGAAAGUUUAUUUUCUACAUAACUAGCUAAAAAAAAAAAAAAGUUCAGUUCACCGUUCCAAAAAUAAACUACUUCUGUUCAUCGUUCAAAAUUUUGAACCAAGUUCACUGUUCCAAAAAUUUUACUGCCAGCUUCAGCUUUCAGCCUACAGUCUCAAAAACAUGAGGAAAAAUGUGUUGCUUGAAUGGUCUUUUUAUUUUUUAAAUGACAAAUUAAAACAAAAAUGGGGCUUUUGUCCUGAUGUACACUUAACGCGUUUCUGACAAGUUCCAUGACAUCAGAGCGUCUUGCAACCCUUGUGCAAUGAGCUCUCAUGUACAAUCAUCAGUAAAAAUGCUUCUUUGAAGGCACAAACUUUUCAACUCCUCGUCGAUGUAAUGUACUGUUAAACUGAGAUAAGAUCAUAGGUUCUGCUGGACCACAGAUCUGUGAUUGCGGCGAAGUGGGUCACAUUUGCCACUUUUUUCCCGACUGAAAUGUACAGGUCUGGGAAAAAAAAUGCAACCUGGCAAAUCAUAUUUUGGGUCAAGCGUCCUAAUGAGAUAUUUGAAUCCUGGCUUUACCACAACACUAACCGGGACCAUGUCUUGGGGUGAUGUGUUUUGUCACUGCAGCCGUGAUCUCGCUCAAUUUUGGACUUUUGUCAAAUGGGACUAAAUUUGCAAACGAAGAAGCUGUGGUCAUUUUCUUUGGUGCUACUUCUCUCGUCAUUUCAUACAUAUCACAUUUCAUACAUAUCAUUUCAUACAUAUCACAUGUGCAUUGAAGGCCUUCAGAGCCUUCUUGGCUGGCCUAAACUCUAUUAAAAGCACUGACCGACAUGUACAAACGUAUUACAUUAUUAAUUACUAAUUGUUAUUUAUUAUAUAUAAUAUAACCAUAAAUAUAUAAUAUGUAUUAAUUUAUUUCAAACAGUCUUUUGUUUUCUUAGCAUUUGUAUUGGCUGCCCAGCUUCCAGUCGUGUAGAUAAUUUUUUUGGGAGGUCCAAUAAGAUUCCAGCUUCUAUGUGUUGCCAUGUCAAUAUAAUCUGCCCAGUGCCUUCAAUGUCAUAAAUGCUGAACUAUGCCACAUACACACAGUGGUAAUGGUUGUUUAUUUUUUCAAACAAUCAGAUUUCAGAGUCAAUAAACAGGGCUACCUGGAAGGCUCCAAGUGAUGUCGGCAUUUCCCCGUCCUCGAUUGGUUGCUUAGAGCAAAACUGCCCAAAAUGGCUGAAGGAACAGGACGAGAAAUCAACUUGUUGACCUAUAUUAUAUAUAUAUAAAAAAAGUGGACAUUGUGAGGAUAGGUCGACCAAUACCAUUGCUCGUUGUCUUGUUUUUACUCACUAAAGGCUUUACAGUAGUUUGCACUUUCAGAGCACUCCACAAUGAGCCACUAUAUUAUACAGUGAGUUUACAGAUAUGAACAGAAGGAAAAUGGGGUAGAUUUGAUCUGUAAAUCAGCAUCUCUGGUGAGUGCGAUAUUUUUUGUAAUGUUAUUAGACAAAUACAUUGAUUGAGAGCUGCUCAGGCCGGCUAUACGCUGCAGCAAGUCAAAUUCGCCACUUCCUCAAUUGUCUCUUAAGACCUAAAAUCCUGUCUGCAGUGAGACUGUACAUGGCCACAAGUCAUUUGUUAAUCUUUAUCAUUUGAAUGUUGCCGUGUGCCCUCACUGUUGUAGCGAACCGGACAGCUCAGCCACCACACCAGCCUGCCGGCGGCUAGAUUGGCCGCCCGCGCGCCGGUACACCGGUUUUGGAGCCCGUCCUACUCGCUACAACAGUGUCCCAUGAGGGCCCUCACAAUGGAGACACUUUUGGAGAACAGUUUAUUACAUGCGCUAGCUAAUGAGCUUACCAGUACGGCGUCAGCUCGUCCAUUGUCACCACCUUAAAUGGUUUUGUCGUGUGUGCGUCCACAUAACAAAGCAUUUGGGAAAGUUAACCGUUUAAUAGAUAUUGCGACAGUCAGUUUAUGACUGCGUGUGACUGCGUGUGUGCGUGAUCCCCAAAGAGCACAGACACGUCCGUGAUUGACACCUGAAAGUUCCACAUGGCGCACUCAGUGGACAUGCCCACACAGCCCUCCAGGCUGGAGGGUAGGGUCGAUUUUCAUGGUUUUGAACCUUAUUUUCUAUACUUGCUAUUUUAUUCAUUCAGAUUUGGUAAACCUGUUAACAACACUUUUGGUGUGUCAAAUUUACAGGACAUUUUUGGUUGUUUACUGGGUCUUUAAAUAUAAGAACAUCAUUCAGGCAGGCAAGGCAUGUUUUGCCCAGCUGUGAUUGGCGCUCACUUAGAUUUUAUUCAUAAUUGACAUUUAGCAGUAGACAUUUAAUAUUUAACAUAUCUUUAUUUAACACUAUUAUUUGCAUAUUUGUAUCGUUUAUUUGUACACCAAAAUGUGACAGUCUAUAUGAAUAUAAAUAGAAAAACAAUUUGAUAUUUGCUCAGUCAACAGAAAGACAUUUUGUCCAGGAGCAGUGACGGUAUUUGCAUGAUAUGCCCUGUCUUCAACACAUUUGGAAGACAAAAUAAUAUUCAAUUAGACUGCAUAGGGGAGCAAACUUUUUCUGCUCAUGGGCUGCAUUGGAUUUUUGAAAUGACAUCAGGUCAUUUGUAGAAAUAGUGUAACAGAAAGUUUAUUCCAAUAAUAAAACCAUAAUAAAUAUUUCAAUAAAUCAAUCAAGCUAUAAUGUAAUUUAAUAAAGGAAUAAAAACUAAAACAAAAAUAAACACAAUCUUUACCAAUAAGAGAAUAAUCCUUUCCCAUUUAUGUGAAUAUUUCUAAUAAAUUUUAUCAUGAUUACUGUAGCAAACAUUGAAAGUGAAAAUGUUAGAUGUAUAUGGUAGUGUUUGCUCGAGGUUUACAUUGGGUAUUUUGACAGCUGCCCGAGCAGAUGAAAUGUGCUCAUACAGCGCUGUCAAAUGUUACGGAACGCCUGUAUUUUGUUAAGGAAAUCACUGAACGCUGACUCGUACCGGCUGUAAUUGCUAAAUGUUCCGGAUGUUGGGGGCGGGAAACAGUGUCCGACAUUACCGACCAGUUCAGCGCUGUGUCAGGCCACCAUGAUGCUUCAGACGCUGGCCAGUACAAAUUUCAUAAAGUUAUUCAAUGAAAUAAACACUAUAUUAUGAGGGGAAAACAUUCAGGAUCAGUCGCCCAACCUCCCUACUUUCUGCUGUUCGGGUACUAAGGGGAAUCCUUGGUACAUGCUAUUAUAUUAUGCCCCCUGGCUACCGAGCUGCAGUGGCAGAAGUUUUCUUUGUCAUGAACGGAACAAAGGACAGGACCCAAAAUGCACGACUCCAAUUCAAAUGGACAGUUUAAAAAAGAGAGGUUUAAAAAACGGGCAGAGGUCGGUACACAGGCAGGCAAUCCGCAAAGGCAACACUAUCCAAAAACGUGAGUCAAAAAGGCAAGGUCAAUAAUCAGCAUUCAACUUACUAUGAGUCCGUGACGUGGAAACAAGGAAUGCUGGAACGUGACAACAAGGUACAACGAACUGGCGAUCAGAAAGAAUGAGACACGAGGUUAAAUGCAUGGGGUAAUUAGGGUACAAGGCACAGGUGGGGAAGAUGCUCUCAGGAGCAGGUGUGUCCGAGACAAGGGAACACAACAACCAGAACACACACCCAUGACACUCUUUGUGUCCGGUGCAAUGCAUUGUGAGUCACUAAUCAUUGCCUCCAUGGUAGCGAAUCAGCAACACUUCUGACAAGUAUCAUUGUCUCUUUAGCGUAUAUUGGUUUGGAUAAAAACAUAAUUAAUUUAGGAGAAAAGAAUAAGCCGGAAGCGAUGGCUGCAUGAUUUUAAGUUUCAGCAUUAAAAUCUAAUUAUUUUAUCUUGUAAAAGGGGCACCAUGUCUCUAUUUAGAUGUGUAAAACUUCAGGACAAAGUGAAGAAAACCUCAGUCUCGUAAUCUGAAGGUUGCUACAGGAAUUAGAUAAGAGUUCUCGAAAACAAGAGGUCUUUUGUCGAACCCAAACACACACAACUGAUACAGGUAGUGGAUUUUAAUAGAACAUUUAAUGAAAUGUACAGGGGAACAAUGCAGGGAAAAGAAAAACAAAGGACUAACGAACAUUGGCAAAGAAGAUUGAACUUGUGCUGUGAGGGUGGAAAGAGCCUGCGCGGUGACAAUGCAUAGCGCUGGGAAUUCCUCUUGCCGUUAAUUUAAACCGAAAUAUGCACCAAUCUGUACUUCAGUAGACCGGAAGUUGGACUUACGUUGCGUGGAACACAAUUUGGGCAGGCUGGUCGAUCUUCCGAAUGUUUGGCCGGUCCGGUCCGUAUGGGCAACAGGUGGAUUUGACGGAAAAAGGAGGAAGAAAACAAAAGAAGAAGCAAGAAAAAGAGUUCCAAGCACUGGGCGGCCGAAGCCCGGGUGUCGCUGUUCGCAAGGCGGUCGGAGCAGGCGUCCGCCGCACGUUUCUCUCCCGAGCUUUGCCGUAAGCUGCCCAGGCACCCGCAGGGGUAGCUCGGGGCGGUGGCAGGGUGCCCUGCGAAGGGGAAGGGUCUGAUGUGUCCUCGUGUUGAGAGGUGGGGCUGGUAUCUUGAGCCCUGCACACGGGGUCUUCUGAAGCCUGGGAGUCCAGGUUUCUGGGUUAGCUAAUUGAUUUAAAGUCUGGGUUAGGAGUCAGGAUUCCUAGUCUCCGCUUUGUUGAGUUCCUUUGGACUGGCUGGUAAUUCAUUUCGCGUCCGUGUGAGAUCAACCAGGCAUCCCUGUGGCCGUCUGUCUCGGCGGGGGAGCGGAGACAGGGAAUGCAGUCCCAGUCCGAGGUUGGGGUCAUGGUGCCAUCUGGUGAGAGCAUGUCCUUUACGUAUCCCCCCUUUGCCGGCUCGAUGCCGGAUCUCGGCGACGUCUCUUUGGAAGAUGGCACAGGUUGGCAUGAACACAACAAUGCAUUUACCAAAGUACAACAUUAGUGCGUAUCACCCCCCCUUAUGGCUAUAACAAUUGUCUAUGACAACUUCUUACUUAAGGUGUGCCUGUAUGUGCAUAUAGGUGUCGGUGUCAGGAUUGACGUGUGUGGAUAUUGGGAUGGCAGUUUAUAUUGGGAUGGCAGUGAGAACAGUAAUUCUGGGCAGGGGAGAAGCUAACUUUAAGGGUAAACAUUAACUAGGUGUAGAGUUCUCAGUUCUGUCUUUGCCUGUCAGCUCCAACCUCAUCAUCCUUCUACCACUCUCUCUAUCACUCUCUCUCCUGUGUCCAAACCAUCGAAGUCUACUCUCUCCAACUUUGCCUCCAAAACAUCUAACUGUGGCCAUCCCUCUGAUGAUCUUAUUUCUAAUCCUAUCCAACCUGGUCACCCCGAGAGAGAAGCUCAACAUUUUCAUUUACGGCACCUCCAGCUCUGCUUCCUGUUGUCUCUUCAGAGCCACUGUCUCUAAUCUUGCAUCAUGGCUUGGCCUUACCACUGUCUUUAAACUUUGCCUUUCAUCCUAGCAGAGACUCUUCUGUCACAUAACACACCUGACACCUUCCUUCACCCGUUCCAACCUGCUUGGUCCUGUUUAUUUACUUCCUUACUACACAAUUGCUCUGUACUGUUGCCCCCAGGUAUUCAGAGUAGUCCUCCACCCUCGCUCUCUCUUUUCCCUGUAGCCUCACUCUUCUCCCUCCACUCUUCUCAUUCAUGCACAUAUAUUCUGUCUUACUUCAGUUAAUCUUCAUUCCUCUCCUUUCCUCUCCAGUGGAUGCCUCCACCUGCUUCCUGCUUUCCCUGCAGAUCACAAUGUCAUCUGCAACCAUCAUGGUCCAUGGGGAUCUGUGGUGAUAUGCUGGCUGUUCUAAGUAGUCUUUUCUGUAAACCUCUGCUCCAAGCUCAACAAAGCCCUCCUUCCUGGGCCUGUCUUGGGUCUGUGUGCAUUCUGCACAAUUUAAAAAAAUCCUUAAAAUGUAAAGCAAUAAUCAAAUUAUAAAAUGAACCAAAAAAAACAAAACAUGGUUAUAUAAUGAAGAUAUAAUGCAUCCACUAAAUUUAAUGCUGUGUCACAUACUGUACAGCCAGGAUUUAAACUGAGGCAUUUUGAGCCACUUUGUGUCAAAUGCAGUCAUUCUUUGUUUAUUGUCCGCUGAUGCAGUCAUGAACGCAAAGGAGAAAAUAAAUUAGGACCAGCCUUGUGUUAAGUGCUAAUAGUCUUACCUGUUGCUUCCGAACUAGCAGACUCUACAGCAUGCUAGUGUGUGUCCUCAGGACGAGGCUUUUUCGUUAUUCGCUUGAAAUAAUUUUCAAUAUUUAUCUGUGUGAAUGAGAUGUCAUUCACUCACCUGACGAGCAGAACCGCUUCAUGCAAUACGAAUAUAGCAUGAGUUACUACUGUCUUUGUACAUGUUUAGCUUCUAGCUACGUUAACAGAGAGACAGCGUAAUAUAACAUGUAUUCGACCUGUUAGAACUUCUGUCCUUGUUUGGCAACAUAUUUGUAGCAGUUUUUGUUUUUGUUUCAUCUGUUGGUGUCCCUUGCGAUUCGCCCUGGCGGCGAUGCUCGUAGUUGGGUGCACGUUUCGUCUUGAACCUCUUCUUCUCUGGCAGACCAAGCUGCGCGUCCCGGCGGAGGUAACACAUACCUACUGACCGGCGAGUAAUGACACGCUACAUUCACAGCGAGGACGAACAGCUAGCGGGAACAUCUAUUAGUGGCGGCAAAAAUUCACGUGUGGUGCCCAGCCACAAAUAAAUGUAUAUGUGGGAAACCCUGUACUGAUUUGCCUGCUGUUUUGCUCUUCAAAGUAGUGAUGGGCACGGCAGUUCUUUUGAGUGUACUGAAUCAUUCGAAUCAUCCAUCCAUUUUCUGAGCCGCUUCUCCUCACUAGGGUCGCGGGCGUGCUGGAGCCUAUCCCAGCUAUCAUCGGGCAGGAGGCGGGGUACACCCUUUUUUGCAUUCCACCGCGGUGGACAACAUCGCUAACACCAUCCCCCGCCAGCCGGGCUUUCUGCUCACUCACCCUACUGUUAUUGUCAUCUGAUUAGUGGAAAGCGUCUUUUGAGUGUCUUGAGAGGCGCUAUAUAAGCUAAAUGUAUUAUUAUUAUUAUCCAUCCAUCCAUCCAUUUUCUGAGCCUCUUCUCCUCACUAGGGUCGCGGGCGUGCUGGAGUCUAUCACAGCUAUCAUCGGGCAGGAGGCGGGGUUCACCCUGAACUGGUUGCCAGCCAAUCGCAAGGCACAUACAAACAAACAACCAUUCUCACUCACAUACACACCUAUGGGCAAUUUAGAUUUGUCAAUUAACCUACCAUGCAUGUUUUUGGGAUGUGGGAGGAAACCGGAGUGCCCGGAGAAAACCCACGCAGGCACGGGGAGAACAUGCAAACUCCACACACGCGGGACCGGGGAUUGAACCCCACUCCUCAGAACUGUGAGGCAGACACUCUAACCAGUCGUCCACCUUGCCACUAUUAUUAUUAUUAUUAUAAUAUUAAAUAAAUCUCUUUAAUCAUCGCAUUAGCGACACAGAAGGAAUGAUAUGUAUGUGUAUGUAUAUACAUUUAUUAUUAGUUUACAUUUAUUUUAACUUUGUGUGCUUGUUUUUAUGUGCUUGACUGACUAAAAAAUUUGCCGUUAGCUUGAAGCUGCAAGUGAAAGCUAUCCCCGCAAGGACGUCAGGACUUGCGGUUAAAACCACUGCGUAGUAUGUUGUUCCUUGUGCAAACGAAUCACUCAUCGUACUAGUACAUCACUCCUUAGCGGAUCACAAAUGAAGAAGUUCAACUGAUUGCGAACGAUAAGUUCAACGAACUAAUCACUCUCCAGUUCCUCAGUACACCAGUUCACUGAACGAAUCACUCUUCAGUUCUUUAGUACACCAGUUCAAUGAACGAAUCACUCAGUUCACUUAAGUCCCUCCCCUGAACGAAUCACUCUUCAGUUCUUCAAUUCUUCAGUUACUCAGUACACCAGUACACCGGUUUACUGAACGAAUCCCUCUUCAGUUCUCCAGUACACCAGUUCACUGAACGAAUCACUCAGUUCACUUAAGUCCCUCCCCCGUUUGCACGGCGCUGCCUGACGCUGGCUGCUCAUUGGUCAUUCGCCAAAGUGAGUGACAACGCUGGCGAAUUGCAAAUCACAUGGCCUUACGUUUAAUGAAGUCCCACCCCCGCCUGCACGCUGGCUGCUCAGUGGUCAUUCGCCGAAGAUUCAGAAGUGAGUGACAGAACGCUUCAACAGUUCCGUUUCCCCUCCCAGCCGACUCGCUCGCCUCACGGCGGUGGGCGGCGGCCAAGCUAAAAGAAUGAAUCAUUUCAUAAACUGAUUCAGUUCAGUUCGUUAACUAAAAAGAUUUGUUAUUCUGAACAAAACGUUCAUGAACGAAACAACAGUACUUCAAAGUUGGCUAAUCUCCACUGUAACGUGCUUCCAGCCAGACCUAUGUGACAAGUGUACUGUACCACCCAAUCACUUUUUUUGUUGGUUUGCAAAUUUAUGUAAUGAUAGCUUAGCAGUUAACAUGGCAUCUCCGGCUGUCUCUCGUCUUAUCCUCUGCCCGUCCUUAGUGAUAACGAUACUUGUCUAAAAGUGUUGCUUAUUCGCUGUGAUGGGUGCGAUGAUUUGUGACCUGUGCUGUGUUGACAACGGACAUGAGGUGCACAUUCGCCUCUGUGGCUCAGCAUUGUAUUUUGUCAUGUUAGCUGUAGUGCGUAGGUAGCUGGGGGGGCAUGCGACUCCCCUUAGGACCUGAAACAGUAGAAAGCAGCGAUGUUGACAAUAGGGACGCUCCAGUAUGGGAUAACCGAGCCAGUAAGAUAAAAGUGCAGUUAGGUGCAACAGGACAAGACACACAUAGUCCUCAGAGUCAUUUGCCAGAAGUAUGUCAUAGAAAACUUUUAAUAAAGCUAACUCUGUGCUAUGUAGCAUUUUAAAACCAGAGUGGCAGAUCUCCAGGACAUCAUGUUUAUCCAAGAAUGCCUUCAACUGCAUGUGCAGACUUUUCUCCAGGAUUUUUGACAUGAGAGGUAACUUUGAAAUGGGUCCAAAAGCCAGAUGACAGACUGCUAUUAAUAAUACCCAAAACCGACUUCUCUCUACUAGGGAAAAAACCCUUAACAAAGUGAGGAGAAACAAAGUCAUAAGGGACCAUAUUCUCCCAUUGGUGCGUAAGUCUGUAUUUUACGCGCCUGGCUUGCGCGCUUUCGAGGUGCGCGGAUUCUCCGGUUAUGACUUCUGACACACCCAGCGCGCAUACCUGGCUAGUUUGUGUGUAACGGCUUGAGAGGCGUGACUCAUUGAAGUCUGCAGGAGGGUAGAGUUCCCUGAAUGUAGAGCUUUCCUGAGAAAUGGUAGUGCCAUUCCAGCACCACACACGCCGGCGUGUCACUUAAAUGGAUUUUACGACCGACGAUGACCAAAUAUGAACAAAAUGAUUCCAAACCUUAACGCACCAUCGCGCCAUCAAGAUGACUGUUCUUUUGAGCGGCGCUUGCAGACAAACUCAAACAAAUGCAGCAUAUUUGAAACGGAAGUGCUGCUCGGAGCUCGUGGAUGAAUAUUAAUUAACUAAUAUGACAAAAUAUGUCGAUGUUCGGCUAUCAAUUGGUCUAAUGUGGUAGGGACACAGUAUGGCCGUUGGGCAGUCGGUGAGUGUAUAUGUCCAGGUGUCCGUCAGCAUGCUGAUUCAGCCGCUGGGCCGGCAGCAGCCGUUGGAUGCUCGAAGCACGGGAGGGAAUCACAAUGUGCAAUAUGACUAUAGACAUACUACAGCCUCUGGAGCGUGCAUGAGGAAAUGCGCUUAAGCCUUUGGCAGAAUACGCGCAAGGCCAUAUAUGAGAGGGAACGCCCACACUCUAGGGUUACUCCACCCAAAGUGCGCACAUGACCAGAAGGUGUGCAAAUGAUAGAACUAAGUAGACGGCAGUAUGGGCGCAAACAGAAAAGCGCAGAGCUGUGCGCCUUUUCUAACUUAAGCAUACGGGAGAAAAUCGCCCAGGGAGAAUAAGGGGGCAGCGGUAUCCAAGUGGUUAAGACUGCCUGCCACCUAGUGGCAGAGCAAGGAUAUUUUCUGUGGGGUGGCCGGCAGGUGGCCAGAAAAUGAGUGGGUGGCCAUGAAAGCGCUGACAGGGUUGACCGCUACGCAAAUUGAAAAAUUCAACUCUGGACUUUUGCCCUGAGAAAUCCUUCGCAACUGGACCCUUCUUAAUUUUAAUUGACGAUUACUACUUUAGGCGGCACGGUGUCCGACUGGUUAGAGCGUCAGCCUCACAGUUCUGAGGUGCGGGGUUCAAUCCCCGUCCCCGCCUGUGUGGAGUUUGCAUGUUCUCCCCGUGCCUGCGUGGGUUUUCUACGGGCACUCCGGUUUCCUCCCACAUCCCAAAAACAUGCAUUAAUUGGAGACUCUAAAUUGCCCGUAGGCAUGACUGUGAGUGCGAAUGGUUGUUUGUUUCUAUGUGCCCUGCGAUUGGCUGGCAACCAGUUCAGGGUGUACCCCGCCUCCUGCCCGAUGACAGCUGGGAUAGGCUCCAGCACGCCCGCGACCCUAGUGAGGAGAAGCGGCUCAGAAAAUGGAUGGAUGGAUGGAUUACUACUUUAAUCCUGAGGUGGCAGCAAUGCACUAAACAUGCCCAGCUAGCUGGAAAUCAAGAAGAAGAAGAAGAGACGAAGCAGUAAAGUGACGUCAUGUUGAAUGGAUACUGAUACUGAAAUAAAGUGACUAAAAAAGGAAUUGAAAGACUGAUUCUUGAGAAUGCCAGACCGACCAAACCUGACUGUCCGGAACAGCCUCCCUUUUCUCUCAAGGACAAGAUAACUGUGUGAAAAGGCCUUUCUUACUUGACUCACUCCCAUUUGAGUUUAACUGUGCGUUGCGCUUCCGUGUUGUUCAGAGACGGGGAGAAGCGCAAAGCAACUGCAGGCCCCUUUGCUAUGGC
Phyllopteryx taeniolatus (common seadragon) is the source of this 20043-nucleotide RNA transcript. It is a transcript of the gene named intraflagellar transport protein 20 homolog, with no coding region annotated. The transcript is spliced from 3 exons. The record is from RefSeq and is a predicted model, not a curated record. NCBI's taxonomy places the organism in Eukaryota, Metazoa, Chordata, Actinopteri, Syngnathiformes, Syngnathidae.